This 242-nucleotide ribosomal RNA is filed under the name Xanthomonas citri pv. citri. RNAcentral describes it as "partial 16S ribosomal RNA". It matches the Rfam family "Bacterial small subunit ribosomal RNA", at positions 553 to 792 of the family's 1533-position model. Lineage: Bacteria; Pseudomonadati; Pseudomonadota; Gammaproteobacteria; Lysobacterales; Lysobacteraceae. The record is from RNAcentral.
GAACUGGGCGUAAAGCGCACGCAGGCGGUCUGUCAAGUCGGAUGUGAAAUCCCCGGGCUCAACCUGGGAACUGCAUUCGAAACUGGCAGGCUUGAGUCUUGUAGAGGGGGGUAGAAUUCCAGGUGUAGCGGUGAAAUGCGUAGAGAUCUGGAGGAAUACCGGUGGCGAAGGCGGCCCCCUGGACAAAGACUGACGCUCAGGUGCGAAAGCGUGGGGAGCAAACAGGAUUAGAUACCCCGGUA